Molecule: small nuclear RNA, 23 nt
Filed under: Arabidopsis thaliana (thale cress)
Lineage: Eukaryota; Viridiplantae; Streptophyta; Magnoliopsida; Brassicales; Brassicaceae
Description: snRNA_15248
Source: RNAcentral
AAUGACAUUCCUUGUAAAUAAGU